CGGCGCCUUCGGGCCGCUGCUGGAAGCCGGAACCGAGCCCGGGCCGCUGCCCCUCACCGGACGCCGCGCGCCACCGGCCCUCCGCGGGGCAGGGGCUGCUGCGAGCUCGCCGGGCGCCCUUUAGACGUAAGUCUCACCCUGCGCCCCGAGGCAGGAAGGAGCGCGUGCAGUCCCGGCCAGAAACGGCUAAUAGGAAGGGCUGAGGGGUUCUGUGUUCAAGGCAGAAGGCCGUGCGUCAGGGCGGCCCUCAGCGGAGAUGCGUGCACGGAGCGGGGAGCGCCGCUCGGGGCAGGGAAUGAAAGCGGCGCUUGAGACUGGAAAUUUAGGGAGAUGAGUUCCUUGGGAACAACGCUGAACCAUCUCACUGCCCCACCCUACCCCUUGUUAUUUUUUUUUGAGACAGGUCUCGCGCUGUCGUCCAGUCUGAGUGCAGUGACGCGAUCACGGCUCACUGCAGCCUCGACCUCCGGGGCUUACGGGUCAUCCCACCUCAGCCCUCUAAGUAGCUGGCACCACGGGCAUGCACCACCACACCCGGCUAAUUUUUUAAAAAAAGUUUUUCCGGAGAUAGGGUCUCGCUGUGUUACCCAGGCUGGUCUCGAACCCCUGGCCUGAAGCGAUCCUCCCGCCUCGGCCUCCCAAAGUGCUGGGAUUACAGGCGUGAGCCACUGCGCUCGGCUUUUCACCCCUUUCUAACGUUUUCCAUCCCUUUCUAACGUUUUCCAUACCCAGCGGUGCCCUGCCCACCCUCUCUUUAUCUCUCACUUUUCCCUCCUCUGUUUCUUCCUCGCUGAAGUCCAUUGGUGAAAGAAAAUUCAUGUGAAAGUUCUCAGAGUCGUCCUUGUCUACUCCACUACCAAAUGUUGAAGUUCUUCAAGAAUCAGUCCUUUGGAGGCAUUUAAGGAAAUCUGUUUCUCUUUUGGAUCACUAGCUGCAAAUUAAGCUAACAGAACAGGAGCUCAGCUGGUCACACACAGCAACGAAUACAGACUUUAUAAAGUUCAGAAAAGUUACCAAACAGUGGUAACCAUAACAAGUACCAACAAUGAACUAUGGGGAGGGAGGAGAAUCUGAUUUCCAGAGUUACCACAUUAUAAUACUAUUCAAAAUGUCACAUUUUUAGCAAAGAUUACAUGACAAGGAAAAACCAGAAAAGUAUGGCCCAUACACAGGUAAAAAAAGAAAUUAAUAGAAACUACCCCUGAAGAAGCACAGACUUCGGAUGUACAAAACAAAGACUUUUCAUCAACUCUUUUAGAUAUGCUAGAAGAGCUAAAGGAAACCAUGGACAGAGAACAAAAAAAUUAGGAAAGCAAUGUCUCAUCCAAUACAGAAUAUCAAUAAAGAGAUUGAAAUUGUAGAAAAGAACCAAAUAGAAAUUCUGGAGUUGAAAAGUAUUAUAACUAAAACUGAAAAUUCACUAGAGGUAUUCAGCAGCAGACUGGAGAAGUCAGAAGAAAGAAUCAACAGGCUUCAAGAUAGGUCAAUUAAGAUUAUACAGUCUGAGGAGCAGAAAGGAAAAAGAAUGAAGAAAAAUGAACAGAGCAUAAAAGACCUCUGGGACUCUAUCAAGCAUACCAGUAUAUGCAUGAGGGGAGUCCCAGAAGGAGAAGAAAGAGAGAAAGGGACAUAAUAUUUGAAGAAAUAAUGGUAGAAAAUGUCCCAGCUUUGAUGAAAUACAUGAAUCUAGAUAUUCAAGAGGCUCAAAGAACCCUAAAUAGGGUAAACUCAAAAAGACCCACACCGGAAUGCAAAAGUGAGCUGGGUGUGGUGGCACGUGCCUGUGGUCCCAGCUACUCGAGAGGCUAAGGCAGGAAAAUCGCUUGAACCCAGGAGGCAGAGAUUGCGGUGAGCCGGGAUUGCGCCAGUGCACUCCAGCUGGGCGACAGAGCGAGAUUCCAUCUCGAAAAAAAAAAAAAAAAAAAAAAAAAACUAUUGCUGCAGUCAUUCAGAUGGAAAUGGGGAAAGAAUAAUAUUAACUGAUUUCAAAAAGGACUUGAAGAUGUGAAUCAUCUAUUUUGCUGAAGAAAUCUUAACUCUUUGAAAUUACUUUUUGUUGCUGUUGUCAUACUCUUAGGUGCCAAACUGCGGUAAAUUUUUUAUCAGUGAAGUGGAAGCAUGUGUUUUGUUGUUUUGGGAAUUUUUAUCAAGUAUCUUCAGAGAAGAUUAUUUCCUGCUUUAUCUUCAAAAACUGGAAAGGAAGGGUCAAAGAAAAGACAGUAGCUGGCCGGUCAUGGUGGCUCAUGCCUGUAAUCCCAACACUUUGGGAGGCUGAGGUGGGCAGAUCACCUGAGGUUGGGAGUUCGAGGCCAGCCUGACCAACGUGGAGAAAUGCCAUCUCUACUAAAGAUGCAAGGAUUGGCCGGGCGUGGUGGUGCGUGCCUGUGAUCCCAGCUGCUCAGGAGGCUGAGGCAGGAGAAUCGCUUGGACCUGGGAGGUGGAGGUUGCGGUGAGCUGAGAUCACGCCAUUGCACUCCAGCCUGGGCAACAAGCGAAACUCUGUCUCAAAAAAAAAGAAAAGACAGUAGCUUAUGUUCAUGUCAAGCACCUCUCAUCACAGUCUAGUUCCAAGGAAAAAAUUCCCAGCGUUUUCUACAUUCGGUGCUGCGUCAUCUGAAAUCGGCACAUUCCAUGGAGGAAGGAGUCCUGCUUUGUUGCAUGUAUCCUAGGGUUUAAUGUUGGUAAAUGAGUCACUCUAGCAUUUGUAGAAGGCUCCCUGAGACUCCUGCAGCAGUCGACCAAGCCCAAGGACAUAAUUGAAUCUGGAGAGUCCUGGGGCCUUGUUUUGAAAAAGACUUGAAAUACACAUAGGAAGAAAGGCAUAAAAAUAAAUGUUCACUUGUCUCUGCUGUGAGUAUGUGUUCCAACUUUUCAGUGAUGGAUUUGAGAAUGAGGACCCCUUCGCCAGGAAAACAUGUAUACACUCAA
RNAcentral lists this long non-coding RNA (2928 nucleotides) under Homo sapiens (human). RNAcentral describes it as "HSALNT0160394". Lineage: Eukaryota; Metazoa; Chordata; Mammalia; Primates; Hominidae. The record is from RNAcentral.